GGAGGCAGCAGUAGGGAAUAUUCCACAAUGGACGAAAGUUUGAUGGAGCGACACAGCGUGCAGGAUGAAGGCNCUAUGGGUUGUAAACUGCUGUGGUAAGAGAAGAAAAAACCGAGGAGGAAAUGCCUUGGUCUUGACGGUAUCUUAUUAGAAAGCAACGGCUAACUAUGUGCCAGCAGCCGCGGUAAUACAUAGGUUGCAAGCGUUAUCCGGAAUUAUUGGGCGUAAAGCGUCUGUAGGUUGUUUGUUAAGUCUGAUGUUAAAUUUUGGGGCUCAACCCCAACACGCAUUGGAUACUGGCAUACUAGAGUUAUGUAGAGGUUAAUGGAAUUCCUUGUGAAGCGGUGGAAUGCGUAGAUAUAAGGAAGAACACCAAUAUGGCGAAGGCAGUUAACUGGGCAUACACUGACACUGAGAGACGAAAGCGUGGGGAGCAAACAGGAUUAGAUACCCUGGUAGUCCACGCCCUAAACGAUGAUCAUUAGCUGAUGGGGAACUCAUCGGCGCAGCUAACGCAUUAAAUGAUCCGCCUGAGUAGUACGUUCGCAAGAAUAAAACUUAAAGGAAUUGACGGGGAUCCGCACAAGCGGUGGAGCAUGUGGUUUAAUUUGAAGAUACGCGUAGAACCUUACCCACUCUUGACAUCUUCUGCAAAGCUAUAGAGAUAUAGUGGAGGUUAACAGAAUGACAGAUGGUGCAUGGUU
Molecule: ribosomal RNA, 704 nt
Filed under: Mycoplasmopsis gallinarum
Lineage: Bacteria; Bacillati; Mycoplasmatota; Mycoplasmoidales; Metamycoplasmataceae
Description: bacterial SSU rRNA
Rfam family: Bacterial small subunit ribosomal RNA
Source: RNAcentral